Oryza glaberrima (African rice) is the source of this 81-nucleotide non-coding RNA. NCBI's taxonomy places the organism in Eukaryota, Viridiplantae, Streptophyta, Magnoliopsida, Poales, Poaceae. The record is from Rfam.
GAGUGAUGAGGAAAUGUUCCUGUGACAAUCGGGUUCGUCAAAUUCAUCUGACCAUCAGAUAUUAAGAGCUAGUCUGAACUC